This 253-nucleotide ribosomal RNA is filed under the name uncultured bacterium. Its description in RNAcentral is "partial 16S ribosomal RNA". It matches the Rfam family "Bacterial small subunit ribosomal RNA", at positions 524 to 776 of the family's 1533-position model. The record is from RNAcentral.
UACGAAGGGGGCUAGCGUUGCUCGGAAUUACUGGGCGUAAAGGGCGCGUAGGCGGUUCGUUAAGUUGGGGGUGAAAGCCCAGGGCUCAACCCUGGAAUUGCCUUCAAUACUGGCGACCUUGAGUAUGGCAGAGGUGUGUGGAACUCCGAGUGUAGAGGUGAAAUUCGUAGAUAUUCGGAAGAACACCAGUGGCGAAGGCGACACACUGGGCCAUUACUGACGCUGAGGCGCGAAAGCGUGGGGAGCAAACAGG